RNAcentral lists this ribosomal RNA (1263 nucleotides) under metagenome. RNAcentral describes it as "bacterial LSU rRNA". It matches the Rfam family "Bacterial large subunit ribosomal RNA", at positions 1644 to 2925 of the family's 2925-position model. The record is from RNAcentral.
GUACCAUAACCGACACAGGUGGGUAGGUAGAGUAUACUAAGGGGCGCGAGAUAACUCUCUCUAAGGAACUCGGCAAAAUGACUCCGUAACUUCGGGAGAAGGAGUGCCUUAUUUAUAAGGUUGCAAUAACAAGAUCCAAGCAACUGUUUAUCAAAACACAGGUCUCCGCUAAGUCGUAAGACGAUGUAUGGGGGCUGACGCCUGCCCAGUGCCAGAAGGUUAAAGAAGUUGGUUAGUGUAUGCGAAGCUGAUGACUGAAGCCCUGGUGAACGGCGGCCGUAACUAUAACGGUCCUAAGGUAGCGAAAUUCCUUGUCGGGUAAGUUCCGACCCGCACGAAAGGCGUAAUGAUUUGGAUACUGUCUCGGAGAGAGGCUCGGUGAAAUAGACUUGUCUGUGAAGAUGCGGACUACCUGCACCAGGACAGAAAGACCCUAUGAAGCUUUACUGUAACUUGAAAUUGGAAUUGGACUUUGCUUGCGCAGUAUAGGUGGGAAGCGUUGAAGAUAUUCUUGCGGGAGUAUUGGAGCUAUCAGUGAGAUACCACUCUUGUAAUGUUAGAUUUCUAACUUUGAACCAUAAUCUGGUCAAAGAACAGUUUCAGGUGGGCAGUUUGACUGGGGCGGUCGCCUCCCAAAUGGUAACGGAGGCGUACAAAGGUUUCCUCUGAACGGAUAGAAAUCGUAUCUAGAGUGUAAAGGCAUAAGGAAGCUUGACUGUGAGACCUACAAGUCGAGCAGGGACGAAAGUCGGUCUUAGUGAUCUGACGGUACUGAGCGGAAAGGCCGUCACUCAACGGAUAAAAGUUACUCUAGGAUAACAGGCUGAUCUCCCCCAAGAGUUCACAUCGACGGGGAGGUUUGGCACCUCGAUGUCGGCUCAUCGCAUCCUGGGGCGGUAGUACGUCCCAAGGGUUGGGCUGUUCGCCCAUGAAAGCGGUACGCGAGCUGGGUUCAGAACGUCGUGAGACAGUUCGGUCCAUAUCCGGUGUAGGCGUUAGAAUAUUGAGAGGAGCCUUCUUUAGUACGAGAGGACCGAGAAGGACACACCGCUGGUGUACCAGUUAUCGUGCCAACGGUAAACGCUGGGUAGCUAUGUGUGGAGUGGAUAACCGCUGAAAGCAUCUAAGUGGGAAGCCCACCUCAAGAUGAGUAUUCUCAUCACUAUAAGUGAGUAAGGUCACGGUAAGACUAACCGUUUGAUAGGCAUUAAGUGUAAAUGUAGUAAUGCAUGUGCUGAGAUGUCCUAACAGACCGAGGACUUG